CUUACAAUGAUUGGAUUUAAAAUUGUUUGACUUUAUGAUGGGCUUAUCAGGGUAUUAAAUGUGUUUCUGACUUACAGUAUUUUUGACUUACCACGUGUUUAUUGGGACGUAACCCCUUCCUAAGAUGAAGAGCAUCUGUAUACAUCCAGAAUCCUGUGGAGCAACUCAUAACCCAUGAGGAAUGGAAGCCGACAGACAGACUCAUCCCCAGGACAGGUGGUUCUCACUACAUCUCAUAAAGCUUCUUAGAAGAUCUUACAGGAUUGAGCAACCAGCCAGCCACAGCAGGGGCCAACUGGAUAACACGUCUUUGCAUAGGCUCUCCCUCUGUCCCUGUCACCCUCCCCUUUUCCUAACCUUGUUCCUUGGGAUUAUGUUUUGAAAUAAAUUAUUCAGAGAAAUGAAGCCAAAGCUGACCCAUUAGCCAAUAGCUAGGUUCUGUGAUGACAGAGCUUCUGGGCUAUAAUCGUUUACUGAGAAGCCAGCGUUCCUGAGGGGAUAAUGGCUCGUUCCAUUCAGCUGCAGCAUAGGAGUGAGGGCAGGGCAUUAGCAGAAGAUAACACCAGAAACGUGCUCUGGGGCCUGUUGAUGACUUUCUGUGCCAAGCACAGACAUUUAGCCUUUAUUCUGUAUGUGAUGGGAAGCCAGUGCCAGUGGUGGGUUUGAGCAGGGAACCAGCAACCAGUGGUGGGUUUGAGCAGGGAACCAGCAAUACUCAAGCUCUGCUUGGAUGGAGGCCAGUCAGGGAGGAGUUAGGGCAGGAGGACCAGUCAGGGAGGAGACUUAGGGCAGGAGGACCAGUCAGGGAGGAGACUUAGGGCAGGAGGACCGGUCAGGGAGGAGACUUAGGGCAGGAGUACUGGUCAGGGAGGAGACUUAGGGCAGGAGGACCGGUCAGGGAGGAGACUUAGGGCAGGAGGACCGGUCAGGGAGGAGACUUAGGGCAGGAGGACCGGUCAGGGAGGAGUUAGGGCUGGAGGACGGGUCAGGGAGGAGACUUAGGGCAGGAGGACCGGUCAGGGAGGAGUUAGGGCUGGAGGACCGGUCAGGGAGGAGUUAGGGCAGGAGGACUGGUCAGGGAGGAGACUUAGGGCAGGAGGACCGGUCAGGGAGGAGACUUAGGGCAGGAGGACCGGUCAGGGAGGAGACUUAGGGCAGGAGGACUGGUCAGGGAGGAGUUAGGGGAGGAGGACCGGUCAGGGAGGAGUUAGGGCAGGGGGAUUGGUCAGGGAGGAGUUAGGGCAGGGGGAUUGGUCAGGGAGGAGUUAGGGCAGGAGGACCGGUCAGGGAGGAGUUAGGGCAGGAGGACCGGUCAGGGAGGAGACUUAGGGCAGGAGGACUGGUCAGGGAGGAGUUAGGGCAGGAGGACCGGUCAGGGAGGAGUUAGGGCAGGAGGACCGGUCAGGGAGGAGACUUAGGGCAGGGGGAUUCGUCAGGGAGGAGUUAGGGCAGGAGGACCGGUCAGGGAGGAGUUAGGGCAGGAGGACUGGUCAGGGAGGAGUUAGGGCAGGAGGACAGGUCAGGGAGGAGUUAGGGCAGGAGGACGGGUCAGGGAGGAGUUAGGGGAGGAGGACUGGUCAGGGAGGAGUUAGGGCUGGAGGACCGGUCAGGGAGGAGUUAGGGCAGGAGGACCGGUCAGGGAGGAGUUAGGGCUGGAGGACCGGUCAGGGAGGAGUUAGGGCAGGAGGACCGGUCAGGGAGGAGUUAGGGCAGGAGGACCGGUCAGGGAGGAGACUUAGGGCAGGAGGACUGGUCAGGGAGGAGUUAGGGCUGGAGGACCGGUCAGGGAGGAGUUAGGGCAGGAGGACUGGUCAGGGAGGAGUUAGGGCAGGAGGACAGGUCAGGGAGGAGACUUAGGGCAGGAGGACCGGUCAGGGAGGAGACUUAGGGCAGGAGGACUGGUCAGGGAGGAGUUAGGGCAGGAGGACCGGUCAGGGAGGAGU
This 1943-nucleotide long non-coding RNA is filed under the name Homo sapiens (human). RNAcentral describes it as "non-protein coding lnc-MUC4-1:5". Lineage: Eukaryota; Metazoa; Chordata; Mammalia; Primates; Hominidae. The record is from RNAcentral.